Non-coding RNA from Schizosaccharomyces pombe (fission yeast), 522 nucleotides. NCBI's taxonomy places the organism in Eukaryota, Fungi, Ascomycota, Schizosaccharomycetes, Schizosaccharomycetales, Schizosaccharomycetaceae. The record is from the annotation of a GenBank genome assembly.
UGGGUAAGCUGAUGAGAAUUUAGAGUAGGGGGAAUGUGAAUUUUUCGAAUCUGCAGUAGUGGAAGAGCCAUUAAUUUCUGUUUCAACAAUCUCAAGACCAAGGGGGGAUGUACUUUGAAAAGAAGUAGAGUUAAACUGGUUAAACCCACCUUCCAGUUCAGUAAGAUCCACGUAAGCAGGACUAUCAGUUACAUGAUCCUCGGAUUCGGAACGGUACUCAGCAGAGAGAGAAGAAUCACUACUGUCCGAAAAUUCUAUUUCAAGACCAUUCUCUGCGACAGUUCGGUUUACCAUUGCCUCAUAAUCAUUUUCAGAAUCCAUUUCAUCAUCGGAAGAAUUAGAAGAACAAGUAAAGGUAACGCGUUUUAUACGAAAAUUUGGGGAUGGAGCCUCCAAGGUUUUUUCCACAAUAUCUAAAGGCGGGAGAGUCACAGACUGCUGAGAAUUGGACGUUUCCGAAUUUUUAUAUUUAUUUAAUCGAGCCAAACGCUCUGAAGGAGUUUCAAUGUAUUCAGCAGGUAA